UUGCUCUCACUUUUCCACUCCCCACUCUUUCCUCCACUCCCACACACUCUCCUCCUACCUCUCCCCACGAAAUUGCUGCUCCUCCUAGCUUCAUGGCCGGCCAUGGCCAUGAAAAGCUCUCCAAGAUGAAGCUCUCCCCCUCCCUCAAGCUCCCCCUCUCCAUGAGAGCAUCCCUCUCCUUCUUCUCCCCAAUCCUAGAUGGUUUUCUCUCCUCUUCUUCUUCCUCCCUUGCUAAGUUUGGAUCUUGAUGCAGGUGCAUGUUGGUCCAAGCAUGGAGAAGCUUCACCUAUCCUCAGAUCUGAAGUUCUUGACCAAAAUUCGUCCAAAACCUUGCAGGGAGACUUAGUUGUGCCAUGGUGAUACCGAGAGAGGCAAUUGCUAAGUUAUGAUACUCUCAUACCUUUACUAGAUGCGAACGAUUCCGGAGAAGAAGAAGAAGUGGUUCGGACAAGGAUUUUAUUUAUAUUGACGGGAUUCUUAUAUUGAUGAACUUGAAGAAGUCCAGGGACAAAUAAGCCAAGGCAAGCCAUCUUUUGAUCUCUGAUAUGAUGUCUCUUUGGAUGUCAUCUUGUGCUAUCAAUAGCAUCUUGGUUCUAUGUGUGAUGAUCUCCAUAUUGUUGCCAUCUAUGCUUGGAUGCAAGCAUGGCACCUCUAGUAGUUUUAUCUUGUCAAGGUCUUGGUAAUUGGUUGGGUGUAUGGUAUCAUGGCCAUUGCUAUCCAACUUGCUUUCUAUAUUUAGCUUGAAUAUGUUCCACCUCGGGACAAGAUUCAUACUACACCCCCUUCUAGUGUAGAUGUAUCAAUACCAUGUUUUUGGUGUAUUCUCAAAUUGUGAUGAGUAUGCCUGUUUUCCC
Lolium perenne is the source of this 854-nucleotide long non-coding RNA. RefSeq lists it as uncharacterized. NCBI's taxonomy places the organism in Eukaryota, Viridiplantae, Streptophyta, Magnoliopsida, Poales, Poaceae. The record is from RefSeq and is a predicted model, not a curated record.